This 253-nucleotide ribosomal RNA is filed under the name uncultured bacterium. RNAcentral's name for it is "partial 16S ribosomal RNA". It matches the Rfam family "Bacterial small subunit ribosomal RNA", at positions 524 to 776 of the family's 1533-position model. The record is from RNAcentral.
GACAGAGGGUGCAAGCGUUGUCCGGAAUUAUUGGGCGUAAAGGGCGCGUAGGCGGCCUGGUAAGUAGGGGGUGAAAUCCUGCGGCUUAACCGCAGGGCUGCCUUCUAAACUGUCAGGCUCGAGCACGGUAGAGGCAGAUGGAAUUCCCGGUGUAGCGGUGGAAUGCGUAGAGAUCGGGAAGAACAUCAGUGGCGAAGGCGGUCUGCUGGGCCGUUGCUGACGCUGAGGCGCGACAGCGUGGGGAGCAAACAGG